GAGAAUGGCGUCGGUUGAGGGUAUCUGUCGUACUCCUGCUUUCUUCUCGGGCUUGCUCGGGCAAGCCUUCGUCGGGCAGAUCUUGGUCGGGCAAGACACACUUCGGGCAAGGCUCGUCGGGCAGUUCUGAAAGAGAAGGACAGAGUUAAUUUGAAAGGGUGCCUUUGUGGGGCCUUAGGUGUAGGCCUUGAGGCUCACAAUCAAGAUUAACUUUGUCGUGCUCAGGCGUGCCACUGCCAUCUUCAGUAUGGCAGAUGUUGAAUGGGUGUUUAAGCUUUGAUUGAAUAUGUAUACGCCCGAGAAACCGAGUUAGAUAUAACAGGUGCCUUUGUGAGACCUUAGGUAUAGGCCUUGAGGCUUCCUGUCAAACUAAACCAGCGCUUGGAUGUAUCAUAUUUGGCCUUUUAUGGUUGCCAGAGUUUUAUCACUAUUAUACCUUUGAUUAUCUGAAUCCAAGAGGUAGGACGAACCCAAAUGAGUGCCUUUGUAGGGCCUUAGGUAUAGGCCUUGAGGCUUCCCAUCAGAGUUAAUCCUUAUACUCGGACCAACUAGACCGCAACAUAAAAUGAAGCUAAAUAGAUGCCUUCGUGGGGCCUUAGGUGUAGGCCUUGAGGCUUUCUAUCAGAAUUCACUCUAUGCUUAAGCCUUUUCUACGAAUCAAGAUAUAAUAGCAACAAAACGGAGAAAUAGAUUGAUUACUUGCGCCCCAAGUAACUUCGGACUUCUCGCUUAUCAAGGAUCGUCGUGGAUGGGUUGAGUCCACAUAGAGUUCUUUUUUAUGCCUUGAGGCCAAGGACUUUUAAACUGAUUUUUAAAUUACAUGCCCGCGGGCUUAAGCCUCAGAUCUGAUCUAAACUCUGACGUGAUUCAGAUCAGAUUCAAGUGCUGAAGACUCAUUUUCAUUGUGAUUUUGCCAGAAAUAACUUGUAUAUAACUGAGAAUAUUUAACAUGUUAUUGUGCUUUUAAAAGAAAGAAAAGACAAAGACAGAGCAAAGAUAGUCGGGUAAGUUUGAACCUUAUCGGCCAAGGCUGAACUUCUUACAAAAUCUAUCUUUGUGGCUCUAUCAGAGGUCUGAAAGCUUUCAGAAGGGGUUGAUGGGGAGAAUAGGAUACAAAAUGAAUCGAUACCACCAAGAACAAGGUAGCAGAGCUAUUACAGGGGUUUGGGAAGGUUUAUCCCGAACGGGAUGAAGGCUUGUGCUGACUACAGCUUUGUUGAAGGCAAAUCUGGCUUGAGCAGAGUUUUGGCUUUUGUUUGUUUGUUUGAGUGUCCCUAAUUCUGUCUUCUCUUCCUCCUUUUAUAGACGGAUUCAGCUUGGGUUCCUGUAGCAAUGGCGGUUGCCCGAAUGCGGUUUGGUGAUGACUCACUAGCUUUUUUACAUGAAUGCCACCAAUAAAGUACUUUAUUGGGCUGUGCAGUGAUUGAAUAACCUACCCCCUGUGGUCUUUGAGCAGGUAAGCAGGUGGCCUUUGUAAUUUGUGCCCAGCCGAAAGCCUCUUUCCUGCCUCCUAAGUUUUCCUCUGGGCCUUGGGUUUGGGCCGACUUUCUCUCUGGCCCAAAGUUCAGAUUUUAUCCCAAACAGUGCCCCCUUCAAUUGAUGUUAAGGUUGGGAUCCCAAGCGCCAACAUUAAUUGAACAACAGCAUGCGUGCCUUUUGAGCUUCCUGCGACCUUUAAACUACCUUCUGGUUCUCUAUAAAUUCUGGCUUUGGAAACCCUUUUCAAAUCAUCACCUCUUCUUCAUUUUGGUCUUUAC
Molecule: long non-coding RNA, 1757 nt
Filed under: Malus domestica (apple)
Lineage: Eukaryota; Viridiplantae; Streptophyta; Magnoliopsida; Rosales; Rosaceae
Description: long non-coding RNA (MDOM_LNC001208)
Source: RNAcentral